Molecule: unclassified non-coding RNA, 374 nt
Filed under: uncultured Gammaproteobacteria bacterium
Lineage: Bacteria; Pseudomonadati; Pseudomonadota; Gammaproteobacteria
Description: contains 16S-23S intergenic spacer region
Source: RNAcentral
UCCGGUUUGUCACCGGCAGUCUCAUUAGAGUGCUCUUUCGUAGCAACUAAUGACAAGGGUUGCGCUCGUUGCGGGACUUAACCCAACAUCUCACGACACGAGCUGACGACAGCCAUGCAGCACCUGUGUGUCGGCUCCCUUUCGGGCACGCCUCCGUCUCGAGAGGCUUCCGACCAUGUCAAGGGUAGGUAAGGUUUUUCGCGUUGCAUCGAAUUAAACCACAUGCUCCACCGCUUGUGCAGGCCCCCGUCAAUUCCUUUGAGUUUUAAUCCUGCGACCGUACUCCCCAGGCGGUCGACUUCACGCGUUAGCUGCGGUACUAAGGAAGUCUCCUUCCCCAACACCUAGUCGACAUCGUUUAGGGCGUGGACUAC